RNAcentral lists this ribosomal RNA (506 nucleotides) under uncultured bacterium. RNAcentral's name for it is "partial 16S ribosomal RNA". It matches the Rfam family "Bacterial small subunit ribosomal RNA", at positions 29 to 523 of the family's 1533-position model. The record is from RNAcentral.
AGUGAACGCUGGCGGUAGGCCUAACACAUGCAAGUCGAACGGCAGCACAGGAGAGCUUGCUCUCUGGGUGGCGAGUGGCGGACGGGUGAGGAAUACAUCGGAAUCUACUUUUUCGUGGGGGAUAACGUAGGGAAACUUACGCUAAUACCGCAUACGACCUACGGGUGAAAGCAGGGGACCUUCGGUCCUUGCGCGAUUGAAUGAGCCGAUGUUGGGUUAGCUAGUGGGCGGGGUAAAGGCCCGCCAAGGCGACGAUCAGUAGCCGGUCUGGGAGGAUGAUCAGACACGCUGGAACUGGAACACGGCACAGACUCCUACGGGAGGAAGCAGUGGGGAAUAGUGGCCAAUGGGCGCAAGCCUGAUUCAGCCAUACCGCGUGGGUGAAGAAGGCCCUCGGGUUGUAAAGCCCUUUUGUUGGGAAAGAAAUCCAGCUGGCUAAUACCCGGUUGGGAUGACGGUACCCAAAGAAUAAGCACCGGCUAACUUCGUGCCAGCCGCCGCCGUAA